UCCUUAUAUAUCACCAUACAUAGAGGUAUUUUGGUUAAUUUUAAUUCUUUUUUUUUUUUGGGUCAAAUUUUAUUUAUAUUGGACCAGACAAAAAAAAUAAGAAAUAAAUAAAAUCCAAAUAAAUUCAAAUUGUCAUUAAAAAUCAACAUUGAUCUUUUUUAUUACUGCUUCGUUCACGAUGAAAAGGAAAAUAAAUACGGGGUUUUUCCUGAUCCAAUAAUGAAGUUGCGUAACGAGUCUCGCGGAUUUAGUGGUCAUUGCCUCUCACUGUUACUUCUGCAGUGGCGUGGGGGCAGUGGCAUUGUCUGAAGUUUACGUGGAGUGGGACCCACUGGAAGACAACUUUUGACUGACAUUUCUCUUCUCUAUUAUUCGGAGCUCAGACUUUUCUUUCUUUCUUAUUUACUAGCCUCGCAUGUACUUCGAGAGGGCUUUUUUUUAAAAAUUUUAAAUUUAUUUUUUAAUAAAAAAGAUAAUAAAUAGUUGUGUUUUAUAAAAAUAGUAUUUAUUUUUUUUUUCUUUUUUAAAUUUUAAUUUUUUAAAAUAUAAAUUUAUCAUAUUAUUCUUAUUUAAUUAAUAAUUUUAAUUUUUAAUGUUUGCAUUAAUUAAUAAUUUUUUCUGGUAUUUUGAAUGUUUUUAGCAUUAUCUACCUUUUACUUUAUAUAUAUAUAUAUAUAUAGUCAAACUCGAAACAGAUCAAUUUUUUUCUUUUCUUAGUGAAUUGGGGAAAAACCCCAAACAACACAACUGCAUAAAAUCAACACAAACAAGACGGGAACAAGAUAUCCCAAUCAAGUCGUCAAUAACUAAAAAACCUAUCCAACUUAACACAUGCCUAAACCUAUGUUAUAGCUCCAGUUAGCUAAUCCGCACAGAUAUCUUUUGAUACAGUGCAAAAUUUAAAGAAACUAAAUAUUAAUCCUGUGAUGCAGGAUCGGUUUCACGCUUCCUCUCUUUCUAGCAGUUGAACGCCUAAUUUAGUUUAUUUUAGCAGAAUCAUACCACAACUUGAUUGGGGAAUUCAAAUAAAACAAAAAAUACUUGGUACGUACAUGUCUGACUAUUUUGUAAAACUCUCUGAUAACACUAAAAUAUAAACAAACAGUUGAAUUCACCGCAAUCCUCCUUAAUAUAAAACUCGGUGCAUGCAAUGGGUUAAGAUUGUAAUACAGAUCAGAUGGGUAAAAUUAUAUUAUAUAAAUUGUGUGUAUAGUCCAGGUGGACGGACAUCUUCUUCCUCCAAAUUUUGAGCAGGAGUUGAAUGAGUAAGUAGCAAAAUGGAAGGCAGGCUUCUAGUUUUCAGCUACUUGCUACUGCUGCAGCUACCUUGUUGCUUUCCUCUUCUUUCUUGGAUCUCUUUUUCAAUUCUCUAUUGCUCUGGAAAUAAAUAAUUAAACAAAAGAGGUCAAAAUUGGAACACUAGUGAAUUUUUAUAAGGGACUAUGACUGGUGAAUUUUCUUUAUGAUUUCUGAAAUGCCUCUUUUGAUUCUAGGAUCAAACAGAAGACAACAAAACAAAACAAAAGCAGAGGACCCCUUGACUUGAUGUAUCAAAAAGCAGAGAGUAAAGUUUUGAGAGAUCACACCACCAAAAUUUAUCUAAAAUUUAACUUGAUGUACAUGAACUUAAGGAAGAUGUACUGACCGCUGAAUGAAGUUGAAGGGGAAAGGGGUCGAGUAUGAUGGAGCGGAUGGACAUCUUGGCAAUCUCCAAAACGGCAGCGUCUCGAACGGGGGCAACAUCACUGCUCAAAUGCUCGUAAGCUGCUUCAAAAGCCUCCUGCCAAAACCGAGGCAGUCGAUUGCUGCUACUUCUGCUGCUCUGGGUGUACAAAUCCCACAUGUGCCUCACCACCUUCUCUCUCUCCUCCACCUCCUGUGUUUAUAUACACAAAUUAAAUUAAUUUCUACUACAGAGUACAGUAAUUUAAUUUAAUUUGAUUAAACCAUGAAAUUGAACAACAUAUGCAAAUAUAUUAGUACCAGAAUAUCGAGAUCGUCGAAGGAUGGAAGGUCCAAGUCGUCGGAGAGGCGAGUUAAGUUGCCGGCGGACCACUUGAGGGUAACGGAUCCGGUGAACAUGGACCAGAAAGCCAGCAGGAGAAUCGCAGCUAAAACCCAGAACUUGUAGCGAGUCUUGUCCAAAAAGCUUCUGCCUUUGGAUGAUGGAGAAGAAGAAGAAGAAGAAGAAGGUGAGGUGUCCUUCCUGAAGACCGUUGGUGUAGCUGUGGUUGAUGGGAUUGUUAUGCGUGUCGGUGGAUCGUUCUGUUUCAUUUUUAGAAGAUGGAGGAGUUAAUAAUCUUCAACAGUGCGGGCUAAAGACUGAAGAGCGGAGGAGACAGAGAGACAGAGACCGAGACCGAGGAGAGAAAUUAUUUUUUGGUCUGGGAGGCUCUGUGGACUUUUUGGAACGCUAGGGUGGGUGUGGUGUGGCCCUGCCUGUGGACAUGUUGGGUGGGGGUGAGUAAAUGUUUGGGUGUAGAAUUGUAAAUUAAUUAAUGGGUGGCAUAGAAUGGGGUGGGUGAGGUGAGCCAUCAAUGUAUCAAAUUCGUUUCGUCAUGCAUGGUAUGAUUAAUCACACUGACGAAACCGCCAUGGAUGAUGGAUGAGAGAGCAUGGAGUGUCUCUAGUGUUUGGCCAUCUACCAUGCCCAAUUUUGCCAGUGGAAUUUGUUUUGUUUCUGCUGAAUUAUGGAGAUGUGGGGUCCAGUUAUACGCGGGCGGGAGGGCAGGAGCAUAUAGCACUUGCCGACUAGCUUUGACUCUUGGUUCAAAACAACAUCACGUCACGUCCUUCCUCUCACCGUCACGACUCACUUUGUUUAGCUUUUGGUUCUUGGGAGACUUUGAAAAAAACUAAAGAGAGAAGUUUUUUAAAAGAAGUUGAAAUUGAUAAAAGUGCUCUUAUUUAUUUUUUAAUUUUUUUAAGGAAUUUUUUAUAUUUGUAUGUAUUUUAGUUUGAAAAUUGAGAGAUUUUUCUGUAUUUUUUGAAAUUUUUUUGCUUUUUUCAAAAGUUUUUUUUUUUCCUAAAACCUAAACCUAAAUUUACUUUGGUUGUUUCGUUUCAGUAUUUAGCUUUUUAAAUUGAGUAAUGCUAUUUAGACACACAACAUUGACCACCUUAACUGACCACCUUAUGUGGCAACUGAUGUGUCAUGCCAUAUCAAUUAAUGAAUGUCGUCAUGUCAAUUCAAAAACAAAUUAAAAAACCCUAGCAUUCCUAGUGAGUGGCCUCAUAGUAGCAUUCAUUAAUUGACAUGGCAUGGUCAGUUAAGGUGGUCAAUGUUGUGUGUCCAAAUAGCAUAACUCUUUUAAAUUUAUUAUUUCAUGGUAUUUAUUUAUGGAUUUUAACCCUGACCUCACUUUUGCCUCAUGUGGCCACUUCCACUGCGGAAGGCAUUCCCGAGCAGGGGGGCCCAACGGCCAAAUUGCAACUCCAGCGCGCCAAGUCUAGCUCAGGUGAGGGGUCGGUCUUACGAGCCCAGGCAAGUCCACUAAUAAUUUCAAUCCAAGCCGUUAUUUGGAUAAAAUAACACAAUGCUAACAUCAGCAACUAAAAAAAAUUUAAAAAAAAAUUCCACAAUUUUUUUAAAUAAAUAUUUAGCCAUAUUAUUUACUUCCCACACUAAAAACUCUAUACAAAUUCAUUUCCUUAUAUCUCAUGUGAAUAAUAAUUAUCCUUGGCCUAUUCGGUGGAAACAAAAUUACAGGGACGACCACUAUUCAUGUAAAUAGUGACAGCCCUUUUCUUACCCAUACCUUAGGCCCUAUUUGGUUCAUGGGAAAGGAGACUUGUGAAUGGGAAAUCAAUUGCUUUCCCAUGUUUAGUAAGUUUAGGUAUGAGAAAUCGUUACCUGGCUCAUGGGAAAGUUUGGGAAAAUGAGUUAACAUUAAAUACAUAUUUUUUAUGACCAUUUUAUCCCCAUUAAUAAUUUAGAAUUACAAUAUAUGAUUAAAUGCAUUUUUUUAAUUUGAUUUAAUAUAGGCAUAAUUAAAAAUUUAUACAAACUUUGUUUUCAAUUCAUACUCAAAACAAACAUAAGAAAGGAAAUAAAGUGAUAUUUCCCUGUUACUUUCCCAACAUUACCAAACGUGGAAAAUAAAUCUUCCAUUCUUAAUCCUUGGAGAAUGACAUGGAAAAUAAUUUUCUUUCAAAUUCAUUCAAUGAACCAAACAGGGCCUAAGGGUGGAAAUACUCUUAGAAAUUUGUGCUUCUAAAUUUGCAUUACUGAGAAGAUGACUGCCCAGCUACUGUCCAGCUCAGCGUAUUAGCUCUCGUACUGGAAAUUGACAAAUCUUAAAGCCUCUCAUUUUCCCACCGUCCUAUUUAAAACCUCAAAUCAAUAAAAAAGCAGCAGGAUGGAUGAUUCAUGAUGGAUGAUUCAUGAUUGUGUAAGUAAAAGUUCAACCCCUUUCUUAAUAUCAUCCCUCUCGUUUAAUCAGACAACCAAAACACUCCAAAAUAUGAUGUGGACAAAACGCAACGGCCCGGCAACUUUCUGAGGCCCAAUGGGCUUCCCAGCCUCCGCUACUUUAGAACAUACUCAAGCCCUAAAUCUUUUUUGUCCAUUUCUGAUUGGCAAUCAUUCAUCACAUCAACCUAACCCGCACUUUAUUAUAAAAGUUAAACCAAGUUGGUUAAAGUGAAUAGGGUUUAGAUUAAAUAAAAAUUAAAUAUUAUUCGAAUUUAAAAAAAUAUUAAACUAAACCAAAUUUAUUGAUGAAUAGAUGAUUUCAGACAAAAAUACCUACCGAAUUCCAUUAUAAAUUAAGUGGUAAUUUAUAACUUGUAUUUUCCAACAUACUAGGUUACAAAAAAGUAGUGUUUCCAAUACAUUUGGGGACACGAUUACAACACAAAUGAAACAAGCUUAUGAUUACUCCUCAAGAAACAACUGCGUGUAGCGAAGAGGUUCUGUUCUUUGGCAAAUUCACUGCAUCUGAAUUCAGCUCAAAGUAUAUAAUUAUUAUUCAACAAAAGAAUCAAAUCAUAAAAUUUAACUUAAAAUGACAAACACAAAUGUAUAUGGCGCUCAGAAUGGGUGCAUAUCAUAUCAUGGAUUAUCUCAUAUGUCCAGACAUAAAUUAGAGCAACCUCAUCAUAGCAGCCAGUCUCCCAAUGCACAAAUCUAGAAACCCUAAUGCAAACACAUUACACAAGAAAAACAAUGCAAACAACUAGAAUUAUACAAAAUUCAAAGAUCCUCAGAGCCAUUCCACAAGUGGAAGUUGCAGACAAUCUACAUAGCAUCAGAUUCUGUCCGCCCGUCUGCUUUUCCUCAUCAUUGAACAUUUUCUUCAAAACUCAAAAUCAACGCCAACAGAAAUUAAAAAAAAAAACAGGGCAAUGCUUCAGAUAAUAAGCGGAGUAAUUUUGUCCACAUUUAUUUCGGUGUGUAGUAUAAGUGAAUGUUGUUUGUAGCAUCAUAUGCGUUGCCCUAUAUGAUAUGAUAUGAUAUAUCACCCAGAAAUCAAAUAAACAGAAAGUAAUUUACAAAUAAAUAAAAUAAAAUAAAAUUUUGAAAAUGGCAUCAGAUAAUAAGCGGAGUUUAUGUCAACACAAACAAUCAGUAUAUCAAUAAGCGGAAAAGAGUAUUCAUCAUUUGCCAUUUGACUCCACCAACAUAAACACAGAAUCGAAAAUCGAAAAUAAAAAAUAAAUCUGCAAAGAUGAAGAAAGUGAGUUUCGGUAGGUCCAUUUGACCCCAAAGCAAUCCUAUGUAUGCAAUGGGCUGGUAAGCCAACCUCUCGCUCUCUGCAUCCGUUAUAGCUCCUCCAGCAUUGAUUUUUUGCAUGGAAGGAGCGGGUAAACAGAUGCACACACAAUCAAAACCUAAAUAAUACCCAAACAGACGCUCAAUAUCUAGAUCCAGCAAGAAGGAAGGCAGGCAAGCAGAAACCAAACAACGAAAUUUGAUUCGGAUUUGUAUUGAAAGCAGGAGAGUGAUUGAGAACUGAGAGGAAUGAAAGGCGUCAAGCAGAGCUUAAAUAGGGGUUUGUGCGAAUUAGGGUUUUUUUCCCUUUUGGGCUUUCAAAUCUGAGAAUUUUCAUGGGCUUUUACAUAGCAAGCCCAAGCUCAAGCCCAGCUUUCAGGCCUGGUUAGUAA
This 6105-nucleotide long non-coding RNA is filed under the name Prunus persica (peach). RNAcentral describes it as "long non-coding RNA (PPER_LNC001412)". The record is from RNAcentral. Lineage: Eukaryota; Viridiplantae; Streptophyta; Magnoliopsida; Rosales; Rosaceae.